This 246-nucleotide ribosomal RNA is filed under the name bacterium enrichment culture clone ALO1_GLFRUDD03FPX7Q. RNAcentral describes it as "partial 16S ribosomal RNA". It matches the Rfam family "Bacterial small subunit ribosomal RNA", at positions 9 to 255 of the family's 1533-position model. The record is from RNAcentral.
GAGUUUGAUCUUGGCUCAGAUUGAACGCUGGCGGCAUGCCUUACACAUGCAAGUCGAACGGCAGCACGAGAGCUUGCUCCUGGUGGCGAGUGGCGAACGGGUGAGUAAUGCAUCGGAACGUAUCCUGGAGUGGGGGAUAACGUAGCGAAAGUUACGCUAAUACCGCAUAUUCUGUGAGCAGGAAAGCGGGGGACCUUCGGGCCUCGCGCUCUUGGAGCGGCCGAUGUCGGAUUAGCUAGUCGUGGU